CAUGCAAGUCGAACGGUAACGCGGGGCAACCUGGCGACGAGUGGCGAACGGGUGAGUAAUGCAUCGGAACGUGUCCAGUAGUGGGGGAUAGCCCGGCGAAAGCCGGAUUAAUACCGCAUACGACCUACGGGUGAAAGCGGGGGAUCGCAAGACCUCGCGCUAUUGGAGCGGCCGAUGUCGGAUUAGCUAGUUGGUGAGGUAAAGGCUUACCAAGGCUACGAUCCGUAGCUGGUCUGAGAGGACGACCAGCCACACUGGGACUGAGACACGGCCCAGACUCCUACGGGAGGCAGCAGUGGGGAAUUUUGGACAAUGGGCGCAAGCCUGAUCCAGCCAUGCCGCGUGCGGGAAGAAGGCCUUCGGGUUGUAAACCGCUUUUGUCAGGGAAGAAACGCUUCGGGCUAAUACCUUGGAGUAAUGACGGUACCUGAAGAAUAAGCACCGGCUAACUACGUGCCAGCAGCCGCGGUAAUACGUAGGGUGCGAGCGUUAAUCGGAAUUACUGGGCGUAAAGCGUGCGCAGGCGGCCAUGCAAGACAGAUGUGAAAUCCCCGGGCUCAACCUGGGAACUGCAUUUGUGACUGCAUGGCUGGAGUGCGGCAGAGGGGGAUGGAAUUCCGCGUGUAGCAGUGAAAUGCGUAGAUAUGCGGAGGAACACCAAUGGCGAAGGCAAUCCCCUGGGCCUGCACUGACGCUCAUGCACGAAAGCGUGGGGAGCAAACAGGAUUAGAUACCCUGGUAGUCCACGCCCUAAACGAUGUCAACUGGUUGUUGGACGGCUUGCUGUUCAGUAACGAAGCUAACGCGUGAAGUUGACCGCCUGGGGAGUACGACCGCAAGGUUGAAACUCAAAGGAAUUGACGGGGACCCGCACAAGCGGUGGAUGAUGUGGUUUAAUUCGAUGCAACGCGAAAAACCUUACCUACCCUUGACAUGCCAGGAACUUACCAGAGAUGGUUUGGUGCUCGAAAGAGAGCCUGGACACAGGUGCUGCAUGGCCGUCGUCAGCUCGUGUCGUGAGAUGUUGGGUUAAGUCCCGCAACGAGCGCAACCCUUGUCAUUAGUUGCUACGUAAGGGCACUCUAAUGAGACUGCCGGUGACAAACCGGAGGAAGGUGGGGAUGACGUCAGGUCAUCAUGGCCCUUAUGGGUAGGGCUACACACGUCAUACAAUGGCCGGUACAGAGGGCUGCCAACCCGCGAGGGGGAGCCAAUCCCAGAAAACCGGUCGUAGUCCGGAUCGCAGUCUGCAACUCGACUGCGUGAAGUCGGAAUCGCUAGUAAUCGCGGAUCAGCUUGCCGCGGUGAAUACGUUCCCGGGUCUUGUACACACCGCCCGUCACACCAUGGGAGCGGGUUCUGCCAGAAGUAGUUAGCCUAACCGCAAGGAGGGCGAUACCACGCAGGU
RNAcentral lists this ribosomal RNA (1408 nucleotides) under uncultured bacterium. RNAcentral's name for it is "bacterial SSU rRNA". It matches the Rfam family "Bacterial small subunit ribosomal RNA". The record is from RNAcentral.